RNAcentral lists this long non-coding RNA (227 nucleotides) under Lathyrus oleraceus (garden pea). RNAcentral's name for it is "Pisum sativum (pea) long non-coding RNA (PSAT_LNC005171)". Lineage: Eukaryota; Viridiplantae; Streptophyta; Magnoliopsida; Fabales; Fabaceae. The record is from RNAcentral.
AAAUUAAAAUAUUUUAAAUAAAGUAAAAAAAAAAUUGAUACAUAUUUUAAAUUUUUUUAAUAACAAGUAGACUAUAACUUUUUUUUAAUAACAGAUGAGAAAAAAGAAAAAAAAGAAAACAUAAAUUAUAUAACAACACCAAAAGGAAUAUAUAGCACGCAAUAAAUCAAACUAAACGCUGGUCGAAAAAUAGAAUAGAAGAGCAAAAACAACAAGCAACAAGAAAA